Molecule: ribosomal RNA, 395 nt
Filed under: uncultured bacterium
Lineage: Bacteria
Description: partial 16S ribosomal RNA
Rfam family: Bacterial small subunit ribosomal RNA
Source: RNAcentral
AUACGUAGGGUGCGAGCGUUGUCCGGAAUUACUGGGCGUAAAGAGCUCGUAGGUGGUUUGUCGCGUCGUCUGUGAAAUUCCGGGGCUUAACUCCGGGCGUGCAGGCGAUACGGGCAUAACUUGAGUACUGUAGGGGAGACUGGAAUUCCUGGUGUAGCGGUGAAAUGCGCAGAUAUCAGGAGGAACACCGGUGGCGAAGGCGGGUCUCUGGGCAGUAACUGACGCUGAGGAGCGAAAGCAUGGGUAGCGAACAGGAUUAGAUACCCUGGUAGUCCAUGCCGUAAACGGUGGGCGCUAGGUGUAGGGGUCUUCCACGACUUCUGUGCCGUAGCUAACGCAUUAAGCGCCCCGCCUGGGGAGUACGGCCGCAAGGCUAAAACUCAAAUGAAUUGACG